GAAAUCAAAUCUGGCUGCGACAUCUGUCACCCCAUUGAUCGCCAGGGUUGAUUCUGCUGAUCUGGCUGGCUAGGCGGGUGUCCCCCUCCCUCACCAAUCCAUGUGCGUCCCUCCCGAAGCUGCGCGCUCGGUCGAAGAGGACGACCUUCCCCCCCGAGGAGAGGACCGGUCUUCGGUCAAGGGUAUACGAGUAGCUGCGCUCCCCUGCUAGAACCUCCAAACAAGCUCUCAAGAUAGGUGCCCUUGACCGAAAUCAAACCCAGGACCCUUCAGGCCACGGCUGAUGCUGUAACC
Molecule: non-coding RNA, 294 nt
Organism: Myotis lucifugus (little brown bat)
Lineage: Eukaryota; Metazoa; Chordata; Mammalia; Chiroptera; Vespertilionidae
Source: Rfam